AAUCUUAUAUUUUAUAAUAAAAUAUUAAAUUGCAAGUUUAAAGAAGAAAUUAUCUAAGAUUU
Molecule: transfer RNA, 62 nt
Filed under: Ixodes hirsti
Lineage: Eukaryota; Metazoa; Arthropoda; Arachnida; Ixodida; Ixodidae
Description: tRNA-Cys
Source: RNAcentral